This 379-nucleotide unclassified non-coding RNA is filed under the name uncultured bacterium. Its description in RNAcentral is "contains 16S-23S intergenic spacer region". The record is from RNAcentral.
UCCGGUUUGUCACCGGCAGUCUCGCGUGAGUCCCCAACUAAAUGCUGGCAACAUGCGACAGGGGUUGCGCUCGUUGCGGGACCUAACCCAACAUCUCACGACACGAGCUGACGACAGCCAUGCAGCACCUGUGUUCCGAUUCCCUUUCGGGCACACCCACAUCUCUGCGGGCUCUCGGACAUGUCAAGGGUAGGUAAGGUUUUUCGCGUUGCAUCGAAUUAAUCCACAUAAUCCACCGCUUGUGCGGGUCCCCGUCAAUUCCUUUGAGUUUUAGCCUUGCGGCCGUACUCCCCAGGCGGGGCACUUAUUGCGUUAGCGACGGCACGGGAGGAGUCGACACCUCCCACACCUAGUGCCCAUCGUUUACGGCGUGGACUAC